This 497-nucleotide ribosomal RNA is filed under the name uncultured bacterium. RNAcentral's name for it is "partial 16S ribosomal RNA". It matches the Rfam family "Bacterial small subunit ribosomal RNA", at positions 28 to 507 of the family's 1533-position model. The record is from RNAcentral.
GAUGAACGCUGGCGGCGUGCCUAAUACAUGCAAGUCGAGCGAACGGACGAGAAGCUUGCUUCUCUGAUGUUAGCGGCGGACGGGUGAGUAACACGUGGAUAACCUACCUAUAAGACUGGGAUAACUUCGGGAAACCGGAGCUAAUACCUGAUAAUAUUUUGAACCGCAUGGUUCAAAAGUGAAAGACGGUCUUGCUGUCACUUAUAGAUGGAUCCGCGCUGCAUUAUCUAGUUGGUAAGGUAACGGCUUACCAAGGCAACGAUGCAUAGCCGACCUGAGAGGGUGAUCGGCCACACUGGAACUGAGACACGGUCCAGACUACUACGGGAGGCAGCAGUAGGGAAUCUUCCGCAAUGGGCGAAAGCCUGCCGGAGCAACGCCGCGUGAGUGAUUAAGGUCUUCGGAUCGUAAAACUCUGUUAUUAGGGAAGAACAUAUGUGUAAGUAACUGUGCACAUCUUGACGGUACCUAAUCAGAAAGCCACGGCUAACUACGUG